CGGAGCAACGCCGCGUGAGUGAUGAAGGCUUUCGGGUCGUAAAACUCUGUUGUUAGGGAAGAACAAGUGCUAGUUGAAUAAGCUGGCACCUUGACGGUACCUAACCAGAAAGCCACGGCUAACUACGUGCCAGCAGCCGCGGUAAUACGUAGGUGGCAAGCGUUAUCCGGAAUUAUUGGGCGUAAAGCGCGCGCAGGUGGUUUCUUAAGUCUGAUGUGAAAGCCCACGGCUCAACCGUGGAGGGUCAUUGGAAACUGGGAGACUUGAGUGCAGAAGAGGAAAGUGGAAUUCCAUGUGUAGCGGUGAAAUGCGUAGAGAUAUGGAGGAACACCAGUGGCGAAGGCGACUUUCUGGUCUGUAACUGACACUGAGGCGCGAAAGCGUGGGGAGCAAACAGGAUUAGAUACCCUGGUAGUCCACGCCGUAAACGAUGAGUGCUAAGUGUUAGAGGGUUUUCCGCCCUUUAGUGCUGAAGUUAACGCAUUAAGCACUCCGCCUGGGGAGUACGGCCGCAAGGGUUGAACUCAAAGGAAUUGACGGGGGCCCGCACAAGCGGGUGGAGCAUGUGGUUUAUUUCGAAAGCAACGCGAAGAUCCUUACCAGGUCUUGACAUCCUCUGACAACCCUAGAGAUAGGGCUUCUCCUUCGGGGCAGAGUGACAGGUGUGCAUGGUUGUCGUCAGCUCGAGUCGUG
This 693-nucleotide ribosomal RNA is filed under the name Bacillus thuringiensis. RNAcentral describes it as "bacterial SSU rRNA". It matches the Rfam family "Bacterial small subunit ribosomal RNA", at positions 387 to 1069 of the family's 1533-position model. Lineage: Bacteria; Bacillati; Bacillota; Bacilli; Caryophanales; Bacillaceae. The record is from RNAcentral.